Picea glauca (white spruce) is the source of this 123-nucleotide non-coding RNA. Lineage: Eukaryota; Viridiplantae; Streptophyta; Pinopsida; Pinales; Pinaceae. The record is from Rfam.
AUGUAAAUGCCUACAACAUAGCGUUAAUGCAUGGGAUCCCAUUAGAACUAUGCAGUUAAGCGUGCUUGGGCUAGAGUAGUACUGGGAUGGGUGACUACCUGGGAAGUCCUAGUAUUUUACAUG